GUCGUCAGCUCGUGUUGUGAAAUGUUGGGUUAAGUCCCGCAACGAGCGCAACCCUUAUCCUUUGUUGCCAGCGGUCCGGCCGGGAACUCAAAGGAGACUGCCAGUGAUAAACUGGAGGAAGGUGGGGAUGACGUCAAGUCAUCAUGGCCCUUACGACCAGGGCUACACACGUGCUACAAUGGCGCAUACAAAGAGAAGCGACCUCGCGAGAGCAAGCGGACCUCAUAAAGUGCGUCGUAGUCCGGAUUGGAGUCUGCAACUCGACUCCAUGAAGUCGGAAUCGCUAGUAAUCGUGGAUCAGAAUGCCACGGUGAAUACGUUCCCGGGCCUUGUACACACCGCCCGUCACACCAUGGGAGUGGGUUGCAAAAGAAGUAGGUAGCUUAACCUUCGGGAGGGCGCUUACCACUUUGUGAUUCAUGACUGGGGUGAAGUCGUAACAAGGUAACCGUAGGGGAACCUGCGGUUGGAUCACCUCCUUACCUUAAAGAAGC
RNAcentral lists this ribosomal RNA (494 nucleotides) under Escherichia coli. RNAcentral describes it as "bacterial SSU rRNA". It matches the Rfam family "Bacterial small subunit ribosomal RNA", at positions 1051 to 1533 of the family's 1533-position model. Lineage: Bacteria; Pseudomonadati; Pseudomonadota; Gammaproteobacteria; Enterobacterales; Enterobacteriaceae. The record is from RNAcentral.